UACGUAGGGUGCAAGCGUUGUCCGGAAUUAUUGGGCGUAAAGAGCUCGUAGGCGGUCUGUCGCGUCUGCUGUGAAAACUCGGGGCUUAACCCCGGGCCUGCAGUGGGCACGGGCAGACUAGAGUGCGGUAGGGGAGACUGGAAUUCCUGGUGUAGCGGUGAAAUGCGCAGAUAUCAGGAGGAACACCGGUGGCGAAGGCGGGUCUCUGGGCCGUAACUGACGCUGAGGAGCGAAAGCAUGGGGAGCGAACAGG
This 253-nucleotide ribosomal RNA is filed under the name uncultured bacterium. RNAcentral's name for it is "partial 16S ribosomal RNA". It matches the Rfam family "Bacterial small subunit ribosomal RNA", at positions 524 to 776 of the family's 1533-position model. The record is from RNAcentral.